ACGAACGCUGGCGGCGUGCCUAAUACAUGCACGUCGAGCGGACGAAUCGAAAGCUUGCUUUUGAUUCGUUAGCGGCGGACGGGUGAGUAACACGUGGGCAACCUGCCCUGUAGACGGGGAUAACGCCGAGAAAUCGGUGCUAAUACCGGAUAACACGAAAUGUUGCAUGACGUUUCGUUGAAAGACGGCGCAAGCUGUCGCUACAGGAUGGGCCCGCGGCGCAUUAGCUAGUUGGUGAGGUAACGGCUCACCAAGGCGACGAUGCGUAGCCGACCUGAGAGGGUGAUCGGCCACACUGGGACUGAGACACGGCCCAGACUCCUACGGGAGGCAGCAGUAGGGAAUCUUCCGCAAUGGACGAAAGUCUGACGGAGCAACGCCGCGUGAGCGAAGAAGGCCUUCGGGUCGUAAAGCUCUGUUGUUAGGGAAGAACAAGUAACGCAGUAACUGGCGUUACCGUGACGGUACCUAACGAGAAAGCCACGGCUAACUACGUG
This 497-nucleotide ribosomal RNA is filed under the name uncultured bacterium. RNAcentral describes it as "partial 16S ribosomal RNA". It matches the Rfam family "Bacterial small subunit ribosomal RNA", at positions 29 to 507 of the family's 1533-position model. The record is from RNAcentral.